RNAcentral lists this ribosomal RNA (465 nucleotides) under uncultured bacterium. RNAcentral describes it as "partial 16S ribosomal RNA". It matches the Rfam family "Bacterial small subunit ribosomal RNA", at positions 28 to 507 of the family's 1533-position model. The record is from RNAcentral.
GACGAACGCUGGCGGCGUGCUUAACACAUGCAAGUCGAACGGAAAGGCCCCUUUGGGGGUACUCGAGUGGCGAACGGGUGAGUAACACGUGAGUAACCUGCCCUUGACUUCGGGAUAACUUCAGGAAGCUGGGGCUAAUACCGGAUAGGAAUCCUUGCUGCAUGGUGGGGGUUGGAAAGCUUCGGCGGUUUUGGAUGGACUCGCGGCUUAUCAGCUUGUUGGUGGGGUAGUGGCUUACCAAGGCUUUGACGGGUAGCCGGCCUGAGAGGGCGACCGGCCACAUUGGGACUGAGAUACGGCCCAGACUCCUACGGGAGGCAGCAGUGGGGAAUAUUGCACAAUGGGCGGAAGCCUGAUGCAGCAACGCCGCGUGCGGGAUGACGGCCUUCGGGUUGUAAACCGCUUUCAGCAGGGGCGAAGCUUGUGGUGACGGUACCUGCAGAAGAAGCACCGGCUAACUACGUG